RNAcentral lists this ribosomal RNA (767 nucleotides) under Salmonella enterica. Its description in RNAcentral is "bacterial LSU rRNA". It matches the Rfam family "Bacterial large subunit ribosomal RNA", at positions 969 to 1735 of the family's 2925-position model. Lineage: Bacteria; Pseudomonadati; Pseudomonadota; Gammaproteobacteria; Enterobacterales; Enterobacteriaceae. The record is from RNAcentral.
AUGUUAUCACGGGAGACACACGGCGGGUGCUAACGUCCGUCGUGAAGAGGGAAACAACCCAGACCGCCAGCUAAGGUCCCAAAGUCAUGGUUAAGUGGGAAACGAUGUGGGAAGGCCCAGACAGCCAGGAUGUUGGCUUAGAAGCAGCCAUCAUUUAAAGAAAGCGUAAUAGCUCACUGGUCGAGUCGGCCUGCGCGGAAGAUGUAACGGGGCUAAACCAUGCACCGAAGCUGCGGCAGCGACGCUGAUGCGUUGUUGGGUAGGGGAGCGUUCUGUAAGCCUGUGAAGGUGGCCUGUGAGGGUUGCUGGAGGUAUCAGAAGUGCGAAUGCUGACAUAAGUAACGAUAAAGCGGGUGAAAAGCCCGCUCGCCGGAAGACCAAGGGUUCCUGUCCAACGUUAAUCGGGGCAGGGUGAGUCGACCCCUAAGGCGAGGCCGAAAGGCGUAGUCGAUGGGAAACGGGUUAAUAUUCCCGUACUUGGUGUUACUGCGAAGGGGGGACGGAGAAGGCUAUGUUGGCCGGGCGACGGUUGUCCCGGUUUAAGCGUGUAGGUGUGUGUUCCAGGUAAAUCCGGUUCACUUUAACACUGAGGCGUGAUGACGAGGCACUACGGUGCUGAAGCAACAAAUGCCCUGCUUCCAGGAAAAGCCUCUAAGCAUCAGGUAACAUCAAAUCGUACCCCAAACCGACACAGGUGGUCAGGUAGAGAAUACCAAGGCGCUUGAGAGAACUCGGGUGAAGGAACUAGGCAAAAUGGUGCCGUAACU